This is a long non-coding RNA of Meleagris gallopavo (turkey), 4122 nucleotides long. The record is from Ensembl. NCBI's taxonomy places the organism in Eukaryota, Metazoa, Chordata, Aves, Galliformes, Phasianidae.
AUGACCGACAUCCUCACUGCCUUGCACGCAUGCCACUGUCGGUGCCACAGGGCGAUUCUCCGCCUGAAGGCAGUGGUUCCACCGUGCCCCUGCGAUCCCUCCCCGCGUGCCAUCGCCUGCUCGGACAGGAGGUGGCAGCAGAUGGCUGCCUUUAGCAUCCAGAGGACCCAGGAGCAGCUCUCGGAGACACCCAGAAGAGAUUCACACGGCUGUCUGUCAGAAGUCUCAGAAACCAGAGAGCAGCUUCCAUCUACUCAUCUCAGACAAAACAGACCUACUUUCUAGGAGAGAGCUGUAAGAAACAAGAUGGAUCCUAGAAAGCAGUACUGACUGAAAACUCAAGUCACUAACACUAUUCCCAGUGUCCUGAGAUGAUCAUCUGCAUUCACCUCCUGGUCUGUUUUUAAAAGUGUCCAGCAUGAAAAAUUGUGUAAUUUUGUUCUGAAAUUGAUUAAAUAUUAACUCCUUUUACUCUCAGGAAACACUCUCAUCUAUUCCUCAACCACAUUUUCUGUUUCAGGGUUGAACAAAGACUUUUGGCCUUAUCCACAUGCAACAUGAAUGUUUUUCUUUUCAGCACCUGUGUAUAUUUUUUUGAAGACUAUUCACAGUACCCUGGCUCUUCAUUUACAGAAAAACUCUCAGAAGUUAGAGACAACUUGAUAUAACAGCAACUCAGAUUUGUUCAACUUCAUUAACUUUCUUAGAGCAUUUCAGGCAUUACAAAUAAAAGGAAGCAAAUCUCCAGCCUUCCUGCUCUGUAGAAGCAACAGAAACCAGAAGACAAAGCAAACCACACUUUUGGGUUCUUUCUUUUUAAACCAGAUGUACAAUCUAUUUAUUGAAGAUGGUAUCAGAGUGGAAGACAGACUUGCCUGCUUUACAGGUUACUAUGGAGACAUUCUUCCCUUCAUUAUUCUGUAAACAGACCGUAUUACACAGAAGUGAGAAGUUCUUUCUUUUGGCCAUUCAGAAACUGCCCAUGAUCAGAGUGUUUCACAUGCUAUGAACUUACAAACAUCUCCAGGGAAUUGCUUUGUUUCAGAUCAAGUGUGGUCAAGGGGAACUAGGCUGACCUUGGUCAAAAGAUACACAUAGUUCUUCUGCUGAAGUCUCAUCAGAGAACUGACGGCUUCCCUUCCUGCUGAGUUCCCAAAAGCUUUGACAUGCAUCCCCAGAAUAACACAGAAAAAUCCCAUCAGGCACUCUUCUCUUCAAGCAUGUUUCUAAGGAAUCAUUGUAAGUUACUUUGCAACGUUUCAGAAGAGGACAACCAGUAAUAUCAAACAAUUGAUAACAAUUGCACUGUCUAUUGAUUCCCAACAGCCUUUAGGUCACAUCAACAUUAUUUCUUCUUUUAGAUAAAUACAAGUAACUGGCAGCCUAUAACCUCUUCUAUAGUCAAUACUAUAGGAUCACCAUGACAUGUUAUCUGUGCAUCUCUAAAAAUUUCAAUCUUUUUAUUUCACCAACACCCUCUAAAUGCCCAAAGUGUGUAGCGCCUGUAAACUUUGGACCUUAACAUUGCUUCCUCUACACAAACUUCUUGACUGCUCACUAUAGCUUGCAGAAAUCAGAGGAAUUGUCAACUAUUUCUACUUCUUAUGCUACACGUAUUACUGUACAUUUCCCUAGAAGUAGGACAGUCAAAGCUGUAAUAGGUUAAGUUACAAACUGAAUGAGAAACAGAUAAAGAAUCAGCAAGACUUAAGUAGAAGCACAACAGUUGACAACGCUGUGAAAGUGACUCUGGCAUAAAACACUGGCUUAAUCAACCAAGAUUCACAUUACAAGCCACAUACCCAGAAGCCUUGUUUGAUGAUCUUUUUUGGAGGAAUGACCACAAACAGGGCUGCCUGUUUCUUAACCAGGUACCACUCCUGUCAAAGAAGCACAAAACCUAGGCAUUUUUGGCCAUCAGAACUGCUAAAACCAUCAAGCUGACCACCACCAACAGGAAGAGGUCUCCAUCAGACACCAUGUAUCUGCAAACCUGUCACACUUCAAGGCAGGAACAGCAAGCGGGGCAGGGAUCUGAGUCAACUGAAAUGAACUCUGCCAGACUGAAUCCACAAACAUUUGAGGGCUGAGAGCUGUAAGUAUUUCCCCAGCGCACAGUAAUAUCAGUGCCAACAAAACCUUGUGCAAAGCCUCACAGACUUCGCCUGUCUCCAUCCCAGGGCACCGAAGCGAGAAAGAGUCCAGCACAGAUAGCCUACAGCCUCUGAUGAUAGGGCUUGAGGAUAUAGAUUAAACACACAUAAAUGCCUCUUCACAAAAUAAUCCUACCUUCUUCCCUCUCAAGAUGAGAGAGUUUCUUUUACUUUGCAAAACUGCAGUUAUUCCAAUGAAAUUUUUUCUUACAUGGAAAUGUGGAUGAUUACCAGAAAAACAAAUAAUUGGGAUGGAGCCCAGUUGGAUAUCACUGAGGGAACUAAGCAAGUAUGCCUUGUGGAGGAGGAGAAGAGAGUUACGCAGUUAGGAACUCUCUGUUGUCACAUUUAGGCUAAACAUGACAAGCAUGAGCUGCUUGUCUUCCUGCUACCAAUCCCAAACUAACCACUUACAGUCAGGAAAAAUUGACAUCCAGGUUUUCUCAGGGAAGAGGUUUAAGAAUAUGACUCAGGAAGUUACUUGGAUAUACCUCUUUUCCUGCCCACAUUUUUUUUUUUUUAUUUUUUAAAUAUUCCAUCAUAUUUUUCAGAAUUUAAACCUGGGCUAGAAUCAUUUCUUGAACUGCAUUUUUAUCUCUUUGGAUUAAAUUUGGAUUAGUCACCUCCUAGGGGAGAUGAGAUAUGUGGUAUACUCUGUUUUCACAAUGGAGUUUACCCUCAUCCUCACUGGCCACAGUAAGCAAAUACUGCAGCAACCUACAGCUCAGAAAUGAGACCCUCUCAGGUCAAUCCUCACAUUCUUCAUUUAAGUAAGCAAAACAGAUGAAGGUGAAGUUAGGAUGAAUGUGUAUUUUCUAUUCCCAUAUAAAGACAGUUUCUUCCAUAUGAGCACACAUGAAAUAUUUUGACCAUCAGGAGCUGAGAAAGGACCAAAAUCUAACUCAUCUGCUGGCUGGUCCAGGUCUUUGCCCUAUCUACAAUGCCCUGAGAAGUAACUUCAUUACCCAACAUCUUAUUUCCAUCUUUCUCACAAGUUUCCCUAUAAUUGUCUCCUUCUCACAGUGCUAAAGUAUGAUGGGUCAGGACUUUAAAAACAUUCCCCAGAUGGUUUUGUGAAUAUUAGAACCAUUGACAGCCAGAGCUUAAUGUCAGUAAAAUACAGACUCCUAAGUCUUAGUUCUGCCAGGAAGAAGAGAGGAGGGUAAUAAAGAAAGCAGCAGCUACGUUCAACAGGCACAUUAUUCUUACUCAAUACUGCCAGGAAGCACUUUGGGAUCCUGCAGUCUCUCAUAGAUCCAACCAUACAGAAUUGAAUCUUCCAGGAUGAGAAAGUAGCCUGUGGUCUGCUGCCACAGUCUGCUCCAACAUCUCAGAACUUCAGGUUGCUGGUAACACGCUCCUGAGCUACUGACACUACUUUAUAUCCAGCUCUUCCCAACACCCAGAUACACACUCAAGCCAACACUGAAAUAACUUGUACUCAUUAGAAAUUGUCAGAGAAGCCUCUAAGAAAAAGCAAGAGUUAAGAUCAAAAACUUGAUCACUUUUCUCUGAUCUCAGCCCAGCAGCUUAACUCUAGGAUUCUUCAUGCACCAAAGGCUCAGGACACCAAGCACAAAUCAGUGGUUUUGCAGGUAAUAAAUAACAUGAGCAUGCACGAGAAGAACAGAUGCUUGUGGUCCUAAGGGUGGGAUUGACCAAAGAGAGCUAUGAAUAAGCCAGAACUGCUAGAUGCAACUCAGAUACCCAUGCCCCUGCUGGCCCGUAGUGAUAGAUUUCUUGCCUCAAUUCCAAUUUGCCUCAGAUACAGAUUGCAUCUUUUCCACUAAAGCCAAAACCCUGAGAGCCUCAGGGAAGAAGAACCGAGGACAUCCAUCAGAGCCAACACUGAGAAAACACCGUGAAUUAUUCAUAACACUCAAAUAGCAAAAUUAAAAUUAAACUACCUUACAAGACAACGGGAGAUAUGCUAACAGUGAAGAAAUUCCAGGGCUGCCUUCGUGUGCUG